This 75-nucleotide transfer RNA is filed under the name Achromobacter anxifer. RNAcentral's name for it is "tRNA-Arg". It matches the Rfam family "tRNA". Rfam says of the family: Transfer RNA (tRNA) molecules are approximately 80 nucleotides in length. Their secondary structure includes four short double-helical elements and three loops (D, anti-codon, and T loops). Lineage: Bacteria; Pseudomonadati; Pseudomonadota; Betaproteobacteria; Burkholderiales; Alcaligenaceae. The record is from RNAcentral.
GGGCCACUAGCUCAAUGGAUAGAGUACGAGGCUACGAACCUCGGGAUGGGGGUUCGAUUCCCUCGUGGCCCUCCA